RNAcentral lists this ribosomal RNA (259 nucleotides) under uncultured prokaryote. Its description in RNAcentral is "partial 16S ribosomal RNA". It matches the Rfam family "Bacterial small subunit ribosomal RNA", at positions 524 to 782 of the family's 1533-position model. The record is from RNAcentral.
UACGGAGGAUCCGAGCGUUAUCCGGAUUUAUUGGGUUUAAAGGGUGCGCAGACGGGAGAUUAAGUCGGCGGUGAAAUUUUGCAGCUCAACUGUAAAAGUGCCAUCGAUACUGGUUUUCUUGAGUGUGGAUGAAGUAGGCGGAAUUUGUGGUGUAGCGGUGAAAUGCAUAGAUAUCACGAGGAACUCCGAUUGCGCAGGCAGCUUACUAGGCCAUAACUGACGCUCAGGCACGAAGGCGUGGGGAUCAAACAGGAUUAGA